GGGUAUAUAGCUCAGUGUUAGAAUGCAUGCUUAGAAUGCAUGAGAUCCUGGGUUCAACCCCAGUAUCGCCA
This 71-nucleotide transfer RNA is filed under the name Camelus bactrianus (Bactrian camel). It matches the Rfam family "tRNA". Rfam says of the family: Transfer RNA (tRNA) molecules are approximately 80 nucleotides in length. RNAcentral also lists the same sequence under 2 other names. Lineage: Eukaryota; Metazoa; Chordata; Mammalia; Artiodactyla; Camelidae. The record is from Rfam by way of RNAcentral.